RNAcentral lists this ribosomal RNA (221 nucleotides) under uncultured bacterium. RNAcentral describes it as "partial 16S ribosomal RNA". It matches the Rfam family "Bacterial small subunit ribosomal RNA", at positions 1280 to 1500 of the family's 1533-position model. The record is from RNAcentral.
CUAACGUCUCAGUUCAGAUUGCAGGCUGCAACUCGCCUGCAUGAAGUCGGAAUUGCUAGUAAUCGCAGAUCAGCAUGCUGCGGUGAAUACGUUCCCGGGUCUUGUACACACCGCCCGUCACACCAUGGGAGUCGGGAAUGCCCGAAGCCAGUGACCCAAGCGAAAGCAGGGAGCUGUCGAAGGCAGGCCGGAUAACUGGGGUGAAGUCGUAACAAGGUAUC